CCUACGGGGGGCAGCAGUGGGGAAUAUUGGACAAUGGGGGCAUCCCUGAUCCAGCCAUGCCGCGUGUGUGAAGAAGGCCCUCGGGUUGUAAAGCACUUUCAGUGAGGAAGAACGCCUGGUGGUUAAUACCCAUCAGGAAAGACAUCACUCACAGAAGAAGCACCGGCUAACUCCGUGCCAGCAGCCGCGGUAAUACGGAGGGUGCGAGCGUUAAUCGGAAUUACUGGGCGUAAAGCGCGCGUAGGUGGCUUGAUAAGCCGGUUGUGAAAGCCCCGGGCUCAACCUGGGAACGGCAUCCGGAACUGUCAAGCUAGAGUGCAGGAGAGGAAGGUAGAAUUCCCGGUGUAGCGGUGAAAUGCGUAGAGAUCGGGAGGAAUACCAGUGGCGAAGGCGGCCUUCUGGACUGACACUGACACUGAGGUGCGAAAGCGUGGGUAGCAAACAGGAUUAGAUACCCCAGUAGUC
RNAcentral lists this ribosomal RNA (465 nucleotides) under Vreelandella stevensii. Its description in RNAcentral is "partial 16S ribosomal RNA". It matches the Rfam family "Bacterial small subunit ribosomal RNA", at positions 338 to 795 of the family's 1533-position model. Lineage: Bacteria; Pseudomonadati; Pseudomonadota; Gammaproteobacteria; Oceanospirillales; Halomonadaceae. The record is from RNAcentral.